Molecule: ribosomal RNA, 495 nt
Filed under: uncultured bacterium
Lineage: Bacteria
Description: partial 16S ribosomal RNA
Rfam family: Bacterial small subunit ribosomal RNA
Source: RNAcentral
GAUGAACGCUGGCGGCGUGCCUAAUACAUGCCAGUCGAGCGAACAGACGAGGAGCUUGCUCCUCUGACGUUAGCGGCGGACGGGUGAGUAACACGUGGAUAACCUACCUAUAAGACUGGGAUAACUUCGGGAAACCGGAGCUAAUACCGGAUAAUAUAUUGAACCGCAUGGUUCAAUAGUGAAAGACGGUUUUGCUGUCACUUAUAGAUGGAUCCGCGCCGCAUUAGCUAGUUGGUAAGGUAACGGCUUACCAAGGCAACGAUGCGUAGCCGACCUGAGAGGGUGAUCGGCCACACUGGAACUGAGACACGGUCCAGACUCCUACGGGAGGCAGCAGUAGGGAAUCUUCCGCAAUGGGCGAAAGCUUGACGGAGCAACGCCGCGUGAGUGAUGAAGGUCUUCGGAUCGUAAAACUCUGUUAUUAGGGAAGAACAAAUGUGUAAGUAACUAUGCACGUCUUGACGGUACCUAAUCAGAAAGCCACGGCUAACUACG